GCGGCCGGGCAGGCGGUGGGGGCCGAGUGGGCGUCGGAAGGAAGCCCGGGGCGGGCCGGGGGCGCCGGCCGAACCGGACGGACGUGGGCGUCGUGGGCGGGAAAGGGGACGCGCUGGAUCGCGCGCGGGCGUGUUGCUUGAUCUCCGAGCCCAGGUGGGCUCCCGCCUCGGUCUCGCUCGUCGACGUCUCCCCGCCGCCGGGCCACUGUCCUCCGAGGAGCGCGCGGGGCUGGGGCGGCCGCCCCGUCUGCGAGCCCCGAGCGCGCCCGUCCCGUCCCGGGGAUCCCGGGCGGAGCUUCCCUCCGGCUGCUGCGCGCGGUAUCGCCUCCGGGAAGUCGGUUCGUGUCCCCGCCAUUGUCCCGCUGCCCUCGGGGACGGGACCCGGUCCGGCUGGGACAGGAGCGGGCGCGGAGACUCGUCAGGGCAAAGGCCGGAGCUGGCACGUAGGCUGCGCGCGGACCCGGGCCUCCCGAGGUGCCAGGGCAGGAAACGGGCAUUUAGCCGACAGUCCCCCGCAUUUGGGGCUCCGUGGACUCCGUGUGUGUGAACUCCGGAUGUGUCUCGGCAAUGAUUCUGCUCUCCAGUUGAGCUCGUUUCAGUCCAGAGUUUAGGUCUGGGAAGGCAGGGCGACCCGGUGAUCCAAUUUCCUGUUGCCCAGCAUUGUCACCAUGGGGGGCGCCAGUUGGGGAGUGGGCCAGGUGACUUUUAGCUCUCUGGCCAGACCUCCUCUGGGCCCAGGGACGCUGUCAAGUUGGGGCAGCCCUUUAGUGCUGCGGCCUUUCUCAGCCGCGCACCAUGUGGGUUUCAUAUAAAGCUGCGUGUGAUCCAGAAGCGGCUGGAGCCUGUCCUGCGUGUGAAAUGGCUGUGCUCUUGUCUAGCCAGGGGAGACUGUGCUUGGACAACACCCACGUGGAGCUUGUCAGCUUUGCCUAAAAAGAAUGAAUUCUCAAAGUCUCCACCCCAGAGAGUGUUGGCCUUGUUGACUGACUGCCCUGAGCUCCUUGUGCAGUCUAGUCAGGCUGCCCUUCCUUAGAACAGUGUUUCUUAAUGGGUAAAAUAAAAUCCACAGGUUUUCCAAGGAAAUAAGUUGUGUUAAAAUACAGGUCAAAAUAUUAAAAGUUGUAUUAAGUAAUGUAUGUGUUUAUUUUUAACCACAUUAAAGAGUAAGUUCCAGCCGUGCAUGUAGUGGUGGUCCAGCUAAUUACUGAACUCUCAAGAUCACAAGGACUGUAAACAGUAUUUGGAGACACCUACAGUGACUCUCUGUGUCUUCUCUGAGUGGCAAGGUCACUUAGCGCUACUACCUUUACUAUAUAAGUGGUUUGUUGCCUCCAUUCACAUUGGAGGGAAAUGCUAAGUAUCACUUCGGGGUUACCAAAAAUAAAAAUGAAUUUCUUUUUUUCCCCCAAAUUAACAGACUCACUGAGUUCUAUUCAUGAACCCCUGUGGGGGUCAUUGGGCCUCAAGUUAAGAACCCUGUGUUAAAUUUGCGACAUCCUCCCCUCCUUUACUUGUGACAUCAGACUAACCACUUUACAGUCUACAGACCUAGAAAACAUGUUUCCUGUCAAACCAUACCUUCGUGGAAAGUCUGGUUGGGUCUAAUCUACAUGUCAAUGAGAGAAUCCCAGAGCUCUCUUUGGAUCUUAUAUCUAUGCUACAGGUUGGGUUCCCAGAAGCUGUCUCUAAGGUGGAAAUUACCAGGCAGUUUAUUUCAUUAGGGUGUGCUCCUCAGGUCCACAUGUAUGAUAGGGAGGGAAAUGAAAAAGGGUUGAGCAGAGGGAGCAGCUGAGCUGUAUUGCAGUCCAGCAAAGGUCUCAGCCAGCCCCUGGGUGGGAUGGCCGUUCAGAGCUGUCUCAAGGCUGCACGAGAGGGCAUGAGAUCCUUGUGGUGAUCAGCUAUUGGAUACGGGCUUCCCUGGAAGGAGGUAUGACCCUGGGUGAGGGUAGUUUUUUGAUGGAGGCAAUCCUCACAGAGGUUUGACAACUGAGGACUGCAUUCCCAGGAGCUGAAGGGGCAUCUGGUGACAUCACAGCAUCCACCACUAUCUGUAGCUGUGUAGAGGCCCUUUUGAGCUGAUGGAAGCCCUCACAUGGCCCUGCAUGAAAAGGUGAAUUGACAGGGAGUGUGAGCAUGGACUAGGUGGUCCAUACCUAGUUCUGGGCACUAAACUAGGCAAGUGAAAGCAACACCCACCAAUAAGGAAAACAGUUAUUGGGUGAGUAUAUCUACCUGUGUUAGGGUCUUGUUAGUUUUAUAUUAUUUAAUCCUCAAAACAAUUCACCCCUUUUUUCAGGUGAAGAUAUAAUAAUCAUCAUCAUUAGUAAUUACCCAGAACCAAACAACCAAUUAAAUGCCCAACUAGGAUUCUAGCCCAAGUCUAUCUAACUCAUAAUGUUUUCUACAAUCAAGCCUAAAACAUGUGGUAAUAGAUAGGAGGGACUGUCGUGGGCCAGCAUAGUGUGGGAAAGCUUUACAGAGGUGGUUACAUUUAAGACUUGAAAGACAAGUCCACUUACAGUAAGUAGAGGGGAAAUGGAGAGGCCCUUCUAGGUGGGAUAUGCAUGAGGAUGGAACAAGCUUGGCAUAUGCUGGGAGAGUGAGGAAUGUGAUACAACCAGAGCAGAGUGUUUCCAUUGGAGUAGGAGUUUCUGUCUGGAUAGGCAAGUAGAGUUGGGAGAUAAAAUUUAUCUGUUAACUUUUUAUGUGUAACAAACAAGUACAAAGCCUCAGGGGCAUGUAACAAAUAAGCAUUUACUGCUCAAGUGUCUGGAAUCAGCAGGGGGUGGACUGAUCUAAGGUGGCUUUUAGCAGAGGAAGUUGGGAUGAUUUGUGUCUGCUCCAUGGGUCUCUCAUCCUGCACUUUGUUUAAUAUGGUGGCCAUUAGCUAUAUGUAGCUAUUUAAAAUUGAAUUAAGUAAUAUUACAAUUUCUGCCUUUCAGUCACACUAACCACAUUUAAAAUGCUCAGUACCCUCAGGUAGCUAGUGGUUACUAUAUAGGACAGAGCUGCUGCCCUAUAGUUUGUUUCCAUCAUGGCUAAAAAUUCUGUUCAAUAGAGCUGCUUCAGAGGGCCAGCUCACACAUGUGCUUUUUCAUGGGGAUGUUACAGGCACAAGACAGUAAGCAGGAAUGUAUAGUGCUUUUUCAAGCCUCUGCCUGGGACAUGUCUCCUAACAUCUCAUGGACUAAAGCAAGUCACAUGACUGAGCAGGGUCAGCAGGUGAGGCAGGUCACCCUACCCUAUAUAGUGGCAGCAGGCAUGGAUACAGGGAGAAAGGAAGAUGUGUGGCCAACUGAUGCCAUGAAGUCCGUGGAGAGUCACGAGAGAUGGCUACAAGGUCGAUGGCUGGGGUAAGCUGCAUGGAAAGCACAGUCCCAUUGCUGAAGCCAGCCGUUCUCUGGACCUCAUCCUGGGUAAUGAGUGCAGAAUGGGCCAAUCUGUAAAUCUACUAAACCAGCUGACUGAGCCAUUGGACAUUUAUCUGAGCUCUGCUGCCUUGGCUUGCGAACUGAACUCCCAGGCAAGAGCUCUUCAAAAAUGCAAUGAGGCUGUAUAGAACAAUAAAAGACGUUUUCUCUUU
Manis pentadactyla (Chinese pangolin) is the source of this 3583-nucleotide long non-coding RNA. RefSeq lists it as uncharacterized. The record is from RefSeq and is a predicted model, not a curated record. The transcript has 2 exons. Lineage: Eukaryota; Metazoa; Chordata; Mammalia; Pholidota; Manidae.